Molecule: ribosomal RNA, 510 nt
Filed under: uncultured bacterium
Lineage: Bacteria
Description: bacterial SSU rRNA
Rfam family: Bacterial small subunit ribosomal RNA
Source: RNAcentral
GAUCAUGGCUCAGGAUGAACGCUGGCGGCGUGCCUAAUACAUGCAAGUCGAACGCAUUACUUCGGUAGUGAGUGGCGAACGGGUGAGUAACACGUAGGUAACUUACCUCUAAGACGAGGAUAACGACUGGAAACGGUCGCUAAAACUGGAUAGGAUCAUUUGAGGCAUCUCGAAUGAUUUAAAGGGGCUUUCAAGCCACACUUAGAGAAAGGCCUGCGGCGCAUUAGCUAGUUGGUGGGGUAGAGGCCUACCAAGACGAUGAUACGUAGCCGACCUGAGAGGGUGAUCGGCCACAUUGGGACUGAGACACGGCCCAAACUCCUACGGGAGGCAGCAGUAGGGAACCUUCCGCAAUGGACGAAAGUCUGACGGAGCAACGCCGCGUGAGUGAAGAAAAGGUUUUCGGAUCGUAAAACUCUGUUGUCAGAGAAGAACAAGUUGGAGAGUAACUGCUCCAGCCUUGACGGUAUCUGACCAGAAAGCCACGGCUAACUACGUGCCAGCAGCCGC